CCUACGGGAGCAGCAGGGGUGAGUGGAAUUCCCGGUGUAGUGGUGAAAUGCGUAGAGAUCGGGAGGAACACCCGUGGCGAAGGCGGCUCACUGGGCUGACCUUGACGCUGAGGCGCGAAGGCGUGGGGAGCGAACGGGAUUAGAAACCCUUGUAGUCC
This 158-nucleotide ribosomal RNA is filed under the name uncultured bacterium. RNAcentral's name for it is "partial 16S ribosomal RNA". It matches the Rfam family "Bacterial small subunit ribosomal RNA", at positions 639 to 796 of the family's 1533-position model. The record is from RNAcentral.